CCGCAAGCCUUCCAGCAUGACUGGGCCUACCCCCAUGGCCCUGCUCACUCCUGUAGCGCUUGCAAGAGCAAUCCUGAGAUGGUUUGAGGCCUCGCUCUGCUUCCACGUUGGAGCAAGGUUAUAGAAAUCCCAGACAUUG
This 139-nucleotide small nucleolar RNA is filed under the name Sphenodon punctatus (tuatara). Its description in RNAcentral is "Small nucleolar RNA SNORA9 (ENSSPUG00000017103.1)". It matches the Rfam family "Small nucleolar RNA SNORA9". Rfam says of the family: ACA9 is a member of the H/ACA class of snoRNA that guide the sites of modification of uridines to pseudouridines. The record is from Rfam by way of RNAcentral. Lineage: Eukaryota; Metazoa; Chordata; Lepidosauria; Sphenodontia; Sphenodontidae.